RNAcentral lists this small nucleolar RNA (132 nucleotides) under Ipomoea nil (Japanese morning glory). The record is from RNAcentral. Lineage: Eukaryota; Viridiplantae; Streptophyta; Magnoliopsida; Solanales; Convolvulaceae.
ACCAAUUCUGGGGGAGAAUAAUAGUUCCUCUUGGCAUAAUGGCUCAGACGCAAAAGGGAAAGAAGAGUGGCAUAUCCUGAUCAAUGGACUCUUUCACUGUGCUAUUGCAUCCUGGAAACACCACUUACAUAU